CCCACCUCCGAACACGUCUCUUCAACGUGUAGCCAACAACAACUCCAGCAACAAAGAAAAUCGAACAAAGCUUUGAACAGGUCCACAGUGAAACCAUUUGUCUGGGAGGCCUAGUAAUCAAAGCCCGAGAUUGAUCAGAAGAAGAUAAAGCAGUAGUUACUCCUCCUUUUCCACUGAAACUGUAUGGAGUCUCGGACGAGGAAU
Molecule: unclassified non-coding RNA, 204 nt
Filed under: Hevea brasiliensis (rubber tree)
Lineage: Eukaryota; Viridiplantae; Streptophyta; Magnoliopsida; Malpighiales; Euphorbiaceae
Source: RNAcentral